RNAcentral lists this ribosomal RNA (492 nucleotides) under uncultured bacterium. RNAcentral's name for it is "partial 16S ribosomal RNA". It matches the Rfam family "Bacterial small subunit ribosomal RNA", at positions 30 to 523 of the family's 1533-position model. The record is from RNAcentral.
AUUGAACGCUGGCGGCAUGCCUUACACAUGCAAGUCGAACGGUAACAGGUUAAGCUGACGAGUGGCGAACGGGUGAGUAAUAUAUCGGAACGUGCCCAGUCGUGGGGAUAACGUAGCGAAAGCUACGCUAAUACCGCAUACGAUCUACGGAUGAAAGCGGGGGAUCGCAAGACCUCGCGCGAUUGGAGCGGCCGAUAUCAGAUUAGGUUGUUGGUGAGGUAAAAGCUCACCAAGCCUGCGAUCUGUAGCUGGUCUGAGAGGACGACCAGCCACACUGGAACUGAGACACGGUCCAGACUCCUACGGGAGGCAGCAGUGGGGAAUUUUGGACAAUGGACGCAAGUCUGAUCCAGCAAUGCCGCGUGCAGGACGAAGGCCUUCGGGUUGUAAACUGCUUUUGUACGGAACGAAACGGUGAGCUCUAAUACAGUUUGCCAAUGACGGUACCGUAAGAAUAAGCACCGGCUAACUACGUGCCAGCCGCCGCGGUAA